Molecule: ribosomal RNA, 242 nt
Filed under: uncultured bacterium
Lineage: Bacteria
Description: partial 16S ribosomal RNA
Rfam family: Bacterial small subunit ribosomal RNA
Source: RNAcentral
UACGAAGGGGGCUAGCGUUGCUCGGAAUCACUGGGCGUAAAGCGCACGUAGGCGGACUCUUAAGUCGGUGGUGAAAUCCUGGAGCUCAACUCCAGAACUGCCUUUGAUACUGAAGAUCUUGAGUUCGGGAGAGGUGAGUGGAACUGCGAGUGUAGAGGUGAAAUUUCGUAGAUAUUCGCAAGAACACCAGUGGCGAAGGCGGCUCACUGGCCCGAUACUGACGCUGAGGCACAAAGCGUGGG